Molecule: long non-coding RNA, 766 nt
Organism: Podarcis raffonei (Aeolian wall lizard)
Lineage: Eukaryota; Metazoa; Chordata; Lepidosauria; Squamata; Lacertidae
Exons: 3
Source: RefSeq, a predicted model, not a curated record
GAGACUGCUUCACACCAAUCUGGUUUAGUCUGUUGAGUAUCACUCUUCCUGGAUUGCUCUUUCUCUCUUUCAAGCCUGCGCCAACUCUGAGGAUGUUCGCCUUCAGUCACAGGAAGUCCUCCAAGCAGAAGCUCUAAAAUGAGUGAACAAGACAUGCAAGUGAGUUACUGGGAGAUACACACACACACACACACACACACACACCUCUUGCCAGCUACCUCGAUUUAUUGAUUAUUUUUCAGGGUGCAAAGCAUCAAGCAAUUAAACACUUGUGCCAUAGAUUGUCUCAAUAUUACGUUAUACAACUCUCCUUUCUGUAUAUUAUUACAAUGGUAUUGAUUUUCUUUCUUUCUUUCUUUCUUUCUUUCUUUCUUUCUUUCUUUCUUUCUUCUCUCUCCCCAUUCCCUUCACUAUAACCUAUCUGCUCUAACUCAUUUAGAGAGUUGCCAAAGGAAAGAGCCUAUACAGCACUUUUUGUGACCUCCAAAACUGAACAAAGAGGCACCUUCUAGAAAAUUCUAAAUGGAACGCUUCAUUGUGCCUUCAUGCUAAUUCCUUGUACUUCUCAGGUUUGAAAUCCGAGAUAGUGGCCUCCUCCAAGAAGAAGCAAAAGGCCUGCUCCUUGUCCCAACAAAGAAAGUGCAAGAAGCGAUGGUUCUGUAAAUGGGAUGCAGAAAACAGUCACCAAGGAAGGUUGGAACCAGGACUGAGACAAAUAUACAAAGAUGAACCUUUUGGGCACAUUCUCAACAGCAGUGGAGAAGCA